Molecule: small nuclear RNA, 278 nt
Filed under: Erinaceus europaeus (western European hedgehog)
Lineage: Eukaryota; Metazoa; Chordata; Mammalia; Eulipotyphla; Erinaceidae
Description: 7SK RNA
Rfam family: 7SK RNA
About the family: 7SK was discovered as an abundant small nuclear RNA in the mid-70s but a possible function has only recently been suggested. Two independent studies have found that 7SK RNA binds the CDK9/cyclin T complex (known as elongation factor P-TEFb).
Source: Rfam by way of RNAcentral
GGAUGUGAGGGCGAUCUGGCUGUGACAUCUGCCACCUCAUUGAAAGUCAGGGUUGAUUCACUGAUCUGGCUGCCUAGUAGUGCUUGUUCAAAGAGAACAGCCUUCCCCAAUAGAGACAGGUCUUUGGUAGAGGGUAUAUGAGUAGCUGCGCUCCCCUGCUAGAACCUCCAAACAAACUCUCAAGGUCCAUUUGUAGGAGAAUGUAGGGUAGUCAAGCUUCCAAGACUGCAGAAACAUCCAUACAAAUGAGGUGCUGCAUGUGGCAGUCUGCCUUUCUU